RNAcentral lists this unclassified non-coding RNA (221 nucleotides) under uncultured Tomentella. RNAcentral's name for it is "sequence contains ITS2". Lineage: Eukaryota; Fungi; Basidiomycota; Agaricomycetes; Thelephorales; Thelephoraceae. The record is from RNAcentral.
ACACCUCAACUCUUCAUGGUUUUCUGUGAUGAGCUUGGACUUUGGGGGUUUUGCUGGCCUGCGGUCGGCUCCCCUAAAAUGAAUCAGCUUGCCAGUGUUUGGUGGGCAUCGCAGGUGUGAUAACUAUCUACGCUUGUGGUUUUCCACCAGGGUAACCUUCAGCAGUGGAGGUUCGCUGGAGCUCACAGAUGUCCCUCUUCGGUGAGGACGGCCCUUUGAAU